GAUCCGAAGCCCAGCUAAGGAUGUCAGCGCACUAAAUAUUUACUGAUCACACACAAAUAGCCGGGGCUCGAACGAUUUUCCUCUGUGAGGAGAGCGCGGAGAGAAGGGUCCCAGUUCCUCUGGGAAUCGUCCUGUAUGCAACAUCUUCACAAGAGUGGCAGGCAGUUGAAUCUCUGGCCUUCGUGGGACCACUGGACAUCUGGCAGAGAACCAGGAAACCACGGUUCCCUUCUGUGAGUCCCUCAGCCGGAAAACUACAAGCUCCUCAUGCAGCUGCUGUCUACAGACCCCCUGGACUGCCUGGGGAAGUGAGUCGGAGCUCCUGCAGCAGAGGGGUGGAACAGCUACACGAAGAUCCGAAGGUGGCCAAAAAUAACAGCGCUUUCCAGAUGAGGGAGCCAGUUGUCCAGCACAGUGUCAUGGGACAGUGGGCCCUGGUGCCACAAUGCCCGGCAUCUCCACCAGAUACAGCUUUGAGAUCUUCAUGAUGAAGCUUGCUCCAAUCCAAGGGCUGUCAGGUGGGGUUUGCGGUUCAGCUGCUAACCUUUCUUUGGCUUCUAUUGCAAGACCUUCU
Homo sapiens (human) is the source of this 574-nucleotide long non-coding RNA. Ensembl annotates it as NR2F2 antisense RNA 1. Its record names the gene NR2F2-AS1. The record is from Ensembl. NCBI's taxonomy places the organism in Eukaryota, Metazoa, Chordata, Mammalia, Primates, Hominidae.